Molecule: ribosomal RNA, 250 nt
Filed under: uncultured prokaryote
Description: partial 16S ribosomal RNA
Rfam family: Bacterial small subunit ribosomal RNA
Source: RNAcentral
UACGUAGGUGGCGAGCGUUAUCCGGAUUUACUGGGUGUAGAGGGCGCGUAGGCGGGGAUGCAAGUCAGAUGUGAAAUCCAUGGGCUCAACCCAUGAACUGCAUUUGAAACUGUAUUUCUUGAGUGCUGGAGAGGCAGACGGAAUUCCUUGUGUAGUGGUGAAAUGCGUAGAUAUAAGGGAGAACACCAGUGGCGAAGGCGGUCUACUGGACAGUAACUGACGCUGAGGCGCGAAAGCGUGGGGAGCAAAC